AUGGUGUCCCCGUUGCAAUUCCUGCGGCUUCUGCUCCUCUGGGUUCCAGCCUCCAGGGGUGAUGUUGUGAUGACACAGUCUCCAGCUUUCCUCUCUGUGACUCCAGGGGAGAAAGUCACCAUCACCUGCCAGGCCAGUGAAGGCAUUGGCAACUACUUAUACUGGUACCAGCAGAAACCAGAUCAAGCCCCAAAGCUCCUCAUCAAGUAUGCUUCCCAGUCCAUCUCAGGGGUCCCCUCGAGGUUCAGUGGCAGUGGAUCUGGGACAGAUUUCACCUUUACCAUCAGUAGCCUGGAAGCUGAAGAUGCUGCAACAUAUUACUGUCAGCAGGGCAAUAAGCACCCUCA
Non-coding RNA from Homo sapiens (human), 347 nucleotides. The record is from the annotation of a RefSeq genome assembly. Lineage: Eukaryota; Metazoa; Chordata; Mammalia; Primates; Hominidae.